Molecule: long non-coding RNA, 347 nt
Organism: Dioscorea cayenensis subsp. rotundata (Guinea yam)
Lineage: Eukaryota; Viridiplantae; Streptophyta; Magnoliopsida; Dioscoreales; Dioscoreaceae
Exons: 3
Source: RefSeq, a predicted model, not a curated record
UGAGAGUCUUCCCAACCCUCUCCUCCUCUUUUGGUUGUGGAUGGAAGGAUGAUCCUUCACCUCUUCUUAUUGAAAUCAUCAAGGUGGUGAAGGCUUGGCUCGAGGCAAGGAGCCAGCAAAGGAUUAGCACUCUUGUGGAGUUAAUCUUCUAAGUUUGCUUCAAUAGUUGGCGGCGUCGUGGUGCGUGGAGUGCUGGCAUCACCUUAUAUUAUUGUUUUUAUCUUCUCAUUUCCAGUCUUAUGUAUGUGUAUCUUUGAACAUGCUUGCAUUAUGUAAGGAAUGGGUCCACUAGUAUCUUUGAUUUCUAUAACCUGUAUUAGGGCAUACUUGUCUACUUUCUUUUGAAA